Long non-coding RNA from Oncorhynchus keta (chum salmon), 1977 nucleotides. RefSeq lists it as uncharacterized. The record is from RefSeq and is a predicted model, not a curated record. NCBI's taxonomy places the organism in Eukaryota, Metazoa, Chordata, Actinopteri, Salmoniformes, Salmonidae. The transcript is spliced from 4 exons.
CAGGGCUUGACCGUGGUUCAGUUCCUGGGGGACUCCGUCCUCAUCCCGGCCGGGCGCUGCACCAGGUGCAGAACCUUCACAGUUGUGUCCAGGUGAUAAAUGACUUUGUGUCUCCAGAGCAUGUAUUCCACUCCUUCCACCUGACACAGGAACUGAGAUCCUCCAGAGAAGAGCCCAACUACGAAGAUAAACUACAGGUAAAGAACAUCUUGUUCCACUCUGUGAAGGAUGCAUUGACGUCGCUGAGGAGGUACAGCCAGGAGGAGGAAGAGAAUUCCUGACCCGCAGUCCCCCUGGCUCCUCCCUCUCUGGCUCCUCCCUCUCUGGCUCCUCCCUCUAUGGCUCCUCCCUCUCUGGCUCCUCCCUCUCUGGCGCCUCCCUCUCUGGCGCCUCCCUCUCUGAGACAUCUUCCUUCAGCCUGGAACAGAUAUAUAUAUACACACUGACACUAACUACAACAGCAGAACACACUACAACACACUAGAACUACAUGUUACUGACCAGCAUCACUACCCAGCAUCAGGAUACUGACCACAGCAGCAUCACUACCCAGCAUCAGGAUACUGACCACAGCAGCUUCGCUACCCAGCAUCAGGAUACUGACCACAGCAGCAUCACCACCCAGCAUCAGGAUACUGACCACAGCAGCAUCACCACCCAGCAUCAGGAUACUGACCACAGCAGCAUCACCACCCAGCAUCAGGAUACUGACCACAGCAGCAUCACCACCCAGCAUCAGGAUACUGACCACAGCAGCUUCGCUACCCAGCAUCAGGAUACUGACCACAGCAGCAUCACCACCCAGCAUCAGGAUACUGACCACAGCAGCAUCACCACCCAGCAUCAGGAUACUGACCACAGCAGCAUCGCUACCACAGCAUCAGGAUACUAACCACAGCAGCAUCACUACCCAGCAUCAGGAUACUAACCACAGCAGCAUCGCUACCACAGCAUCAGGAGAACUGAGUUCAGUAGAAUCUGGUCUCACAGCUCUGACUGCUGUUCUGGAACCUUCUGUUCUCUGUUUGUUUAGUUCAUGUUUUUCUUUCAAACUGUUGUAUUUUGUUUCUGUGAAAAUGAUGUAUUUAUUUUAUAGGAGUUGUAAAUGCGAUGAUGUUCUAGAUGAAAUGUAAAUGUGACUUGUACAGUUAGCUAAAUGAUGAGUUGUGAGACGGAUGCCGUUUCCUACAUUGAGACAGUUACUGUGAGAGGAAACAGACUUCAGCUGUCGCCGAGAACUCUGGGAGUCGCUGCUGAAUUCGUCCUCAUGCCAUAUCUUUUAAAAACCAACUGCCAAACUAUUGUAUGAAACCGUGUACAGUUGUAUUGUGUAAAAAAAAGACGAAAUGAAAAAUACACUUCAGCAUUUUAUUAAGAAGUAUUCACUGUAAAAUGGAGACAUUUACACACAAAAAAUAAUUUAUUCAAAUUUUGACGUUUAAACGAUAACAAUUGUGUAAAUAUAUACAUAUAUACAUUCACUGAUGUAUUUUUUAAAACAUGGCUUGCUUCAAUUUGUAAUUUUAAAAGUGCAGGUGUUAUAUGCUUUGUACAUUGAAGUUCAAAGGGGUUUUACAUUUUCCAUUAAAAUGGAUUCAUCAAAAUAUGUCUGUGCUGUGUCUUAAUGCAGGUAUUCCCAUACUGGGGUGUCUUAAUGCAGGUAUUCCCAAACUGGGGUGUCUUAAUGCAGGUAUUCCCAAACUGGGGUGUCUUAAUGCAGGUAUUCCCAAACUGGGGUGUCUUAUUGCAGGUAUUCCCAAACUGGGGUGUCUUAUUGCAGGUAUUCCCAAACUGGGGUGUCUUAAUGCAGGUAUUCCCAUACUGGGGUGUGUCUUAUUGCAGGUAUUCCCAAACUGGGGUGUCUUAAUGCAGGUAUUCCCAAACUGGGGUGUCUUAAUGCAGGUAUUCCCAAACUGGGGUGUCUUAAUGCAGGUAUUCCCAAACUGGGGUGUCUUAAUGCAGGUAUUCCCAAACUGG